ACGAAUGGGGCAAGCGUUGUUCGGAAUCACUGGGCUUAAAGCGUGCGUAGGCGGCUAUGAAAGUCAGGAGUGAAAUCCCAGGGCUUAACCCUGGAAUUGCUUUUGAAACUCCAUAGCUAGAAUCCGGGAGAGGUUAGCAGAAUUCCGAGUGUAGAGGUGAAAUUCGCAGAUAUUCGGAGGAAUACCAGUGGCGUAGGCGGCUAACUGGACCGGCAUUGACGCUGAGGUACGAAAGCGUGGGUAGCAAACAGGA
This 253-nucleotide ribosomal RNA is filed under the name uncultured prokaryote. RNAcentral's name for it is "partial 16S ribosomal RNA". It matches the Rfam family "Bacterial small subunit ribosomal RNA", at positions 525 to 777 of the family's 1533-position model. The record is from RNAcentral.